This 385-nucleotide unclassified non-coding RNA is filed under the name uncultured Phycisphaerae bacterium. RNAcentral describes it as "contains 16S-23S intergenic spacer region". Lineage: Bacteria; Pseudomonadati; Planctomycetota; Phycisphaerae. The record is from RNAcentral.
UCCGGCUUGACGCCGGCGGUCUCGCUAGAGUUCCCGGCAUGACCCGAUGGCAACUAACGAUAGGGGUUUCGCUCGUUAAGGGACUUAACCCGACACUUCACAGCACGAGCUGACGACAGCCAUGCAGCACCUGUGCAAGUUUCACCCGAAGGCAGCUUACUCCUGUUUCCAGAAGGGCAUCCAAGCAUGUCAAACCCAGGUAAGGUUCUUCGCGUUGCUUCGAAUUAAUCCACAUGCUCCACUGCUUGUGUGAGCCCCCGUCAAUUCCUUUGAGUUUUAGCCUUGCGGCCGUACUCCCCAGGCGGCGCACUUAACACUUUUGCUUCGGUACGAUUGACGUCAGAGUCCCUCAUACCUAGUGCGCAUCGUUUACGGCGUGGACUAC